RNAcentral lists this long non-coding RNA (210 nucleotides) under Capsicum annuum. Its description in RNAcentral is "long non-coding RNA (CANN_LNC012794)". Lineage: Eukaryota; Viridiplantae; Streptophyta; Magnoliopsida; Solanales; Solanaceae. The record is from RNAcentral.
UAAUCAUUAUUUUAGAGAAUGAAAUGGGAUUGUAGAUGUUCUUUCUAAUUAUUGGCACGCCUCGUCAUGAAGGAAAUAGUUUUUACAUGAGAGCGAGCUCCCUAGAGAUGGAAUUGGUCCACUUAGAAUGAAGAAAAUGAAGCUACCAUCCAUCCUUUUGAAGAAGGAAAAAAAAAAAGCACUCCUCUUCAUGCUGUUACAAUCCCCCAU